AACGAACGUUGGCGGCAUGCCUAACACAUGCAAUUCGAACGAGACCUUCGGGUCUCGUGGCGCACGGGUGCGUAACUCGUGGGAACCUGCCCUUAGGUUCGGAAUAACUCCCCGAAAGGGGUGCUAAUACCGGAUAAUGUCUUUGGUCCAACGAUUUAUCGCCUUUGGAUGGGCCCGCGUUGUCUUAGCUUGUUGGUAGGGUAAAAGCCUACCAAGGCGACGAUCCAUAGCUGGUCUGAGAGGAUGAUCAGCCACACUGGGACUGAGACACGGCCCAGACUCCUACGCAAGGGAGGAGAGGGGAAUAUUGGACAAUGGGAGAAAGCAUGAUCGAGCAAUGCCGCGUGAGUGAUGAAGGCCGUAGAGUAGUAAAGCUCUUUUACCCGGGAUGAUAAUGACAGUACCGGGAGAAUAAGCUCCGGCUAACUCCGUG
Molecule: ribosomal RNA, 433 nt
Filed under: uncultured bacterium
Lineage: Bacteria
Description: partial 16S ribosomal RNA
Rfam family: Bacterial small subunit ribosomal RNA
Source: RNAcentral